Molecule: signal recognition particle RNA, 300 nt
Filed under: Saimiri boliviensis boliviensis (Bolivian squirrel monkey)
Lineage: Eukaryota; Metazoa; Chordata; Mammalia; Primates; Cebidae
Description: Metazoan signal recognition particle RNA (ENSSBOG00000011082.1)
Rfam family: Metazoan signal recognition particle RNA
About the family: The signal recognition particle (SRP) is a universally conserved ribonucleoprotein. It is involved in the co-translational targeting of proteins to membranes.
Source: RNAcentral
GCCAGGCACGGUGGCGCGUUCCUGCAGUCCCAGCUACUCGGGAAGCUGAGGUGGGAGGAUCGCUUGAGCCCACGAGUUCUGGGCUGUAGUGCGCUAUGCCGAUUGGGUGUCCGCACUGAGUUUAACAUCAAUAUGGUGACCUCCCGGGAGCGGGGGACCACCGGGUUGCCUAAGGAGGGGUGAACCGGCCCAGGUCGGAAACGGAGCAGGUCAAAACUCCCGGUGCUGAUCAGUAGUGGGAUCGUGCCUGUGAAUAGCCACUGUACUCCAGCCGGGGCAACGUAGCAAGACCCCGUCUCU